CUCAGGACGAACGCUGGCGGCGUGCCUAAUACAUGCAAGUCGAGCGAAUCGAUGGGAGCUUGCUCCCUGAGAUUAGCGGCGGACGGGUGAGUAACACGUGGGCAACCUGCCUAUAAGACUGGGAUAACUUCGGGAAACCGGAGCUAAUACCGGAUACGUUCUUUUCUCGCAUGAGAGAAGAUGGAAAGACGGUUUACGCUGUCACUUAUAGAUGGGCCCGCGGCGCAUUAGCUAGUUGGUGAGGUAAUGGCUCACCAAGGCGACGAUGCGUAGCCGACCUGAGAGGGUGAUCGGCCACACUGGGACUGAGACACGGCCCAGACUCCUACGGGAGGCAGCAGUAGGGAAUCUUCCGCAAUGGACGAAAGUCUGACGGAGCAACGCCGCGUGAACGAAGAAGGCCUUCGGGUCGUAAAGUUCUGUUGUUAGGGAAGAACAAGUACCAGAGUAACUGCUGGUACCUUGACGGUACCUAACCAGAAAGCCACGGCUAACUACGUGCCAGCAGCCGCGGUAAUACGUAGGUGGCAAGCGUUGUCCGGAAUUAUUGGGCGUAAAGCGCGCGCAGGUGGUUCCUUAAGUCUGAUGUGAAAGCCCACGGCUCAACCGUGGAGGGUCAUUGGAAACUGGGGAACUUGAGUGCAGAAGAGGAAAGUGGAAUUCCAAGUGUAGCGGUGAAAUGCGUAGAGAUUUGGAGGAACACCAGUGGCGAAGGCGACUUUCUGGUCUGUAACGACACNAGGCG
RNAcentral lists this ribosomal RNA (745 nucleotides) under Peribacillus muralis. RNAcentral's name for it is "bacterial SSU rRNA". It matches the Rfam family "Bacterial small subunit ribosomal RNA", at positions 23 to 753 of the family's 1533-position model. Lineage: Bacteria; Bacillati; Bacillota; Bacilli; Caryophanales; Bacillaceae. The record is from RNAcentral.